AGAAGGUCUACGCUGUGUGUGACUCAGAGAUCAUCAAGCCAGCCUUUGAGGGCCAAGGCAGCUCCAUGCCUGUCAUCGAAGCCAGUGAGUUUCUAUCCAAAUGUCCCCACUUCGACCCCUGGAGGCACUGGGGGGGUUAUCUAAAGAAGAAGAGAUCACUAUUGGAAUUUUAGCUGCCACCCUCGCCUUCCUCGCCAUCCUCGUUGCUUGGCGCUACAAUGCCCAGAUUAAGUGUCUUCCAGUGGCCUCUCCAGCAGUCAAAUCAGGGGAACCCCAGUGCUAUUCAGAUUAACUGAAGAGUGUGAUACUGUCAACUGAGGAAGAGUUGGACCUGCAGGGAAUAGUGGUGUGCCAAGAUGUGAAAAUCUCCUCCAAUAUAUUUCUAACAAGGCAAAUGUUGUCUAGGUCCUAUUUAACCCCAUGGUGUGUGUUUAUCCUGCAACUGGAGGGGACAGUGUUCUCCUUAAGUUCAGGUGACGUUCAGCUCUAUCAGCCAGGUUGCUUACUGUAGCAGUGGCACAAUGCGUCUCCCCAUCAAGCUGGGUUGUUACAGUAUGAUAGCUUCCACUCUGCACAUUUACAACAGGCAAGUUUUAAAAACACUGCUUCAAACUAAUUAUGGUCUAGACCAGUGGUUCCCAAAUUUUUUUAUGGUCCCGUACCCCUUCAAAAAUUCAACCUCCAGCUGCGUAACCCCUCUAGCACCAGGGUCAGCGCACUCUCAAAUGUUUUUUGUUGUUGCCGUCAUUGUAAGCCUGCCACACACACACUAUAGGAUACAUUUAUUAAACAAAAGAAUGAGUGUGAGUUUUUGUCACAAACUGGCUCGUGGGAAGUGACAGCUCUUAUAGGACCAGGGCACAAAUAAUAGUAUUAUAAUAAUCAAUCAUGUUGCUCCCUAUUUAGCCAUCUUACAUAUAAAACCUUAUUUGUUCAUCAAAAAUGGUGAAUAACUCACCACAGGUUAAUGAGAAGGGUGUGUUUGAAAGAAGAGAGUCUCAGUCUUAAAUAAUUUUCUACACACUCUAAUAUUAAAUAAGUCUCGAGGUAUUGCUCGCCUGAGGUAGAGUACCUUAUGAUAAGCUGUAGACCACACUAUCUACCAAGAGAGUUCUCAUCUGUAUUAUUUGUAGCCGUCUAUUUACCACCACAAAACUAAGCUGGCACUAAGACCUCUCUCAACCAACUCUAUGGUUGAGAGCGAUAAAGCCAUAAGCAAAGAAGAAAAUGCUCACCCAGAAGCGGCACUCCUAGUGGCCGGGGACCUUAAUGCAGGUAAACUUGAAUCAGUUUUACCAAAUUUUUACCAGUAUGUCACAUGUGCAACCAGGGGGAAAAUAUCCUAGACCACUACUCCACACAUAGAGAUGCAUACAAAGCUCUUCCCUGCCCUCCAUUUGGCAAAUCUGACCAUAAUUCUGCUUACAAGCAAAAACUAAAGCAGGAAGUACCAGUGACUCGCUCAAUACGGAAGUGGUCAGAUGACGCGGAUGCUACACUACAGGACUGUUUUUCUAGCACAGACUGGAAUAUGUUAUGGGAUUCAUCCAAUGGCAUUGAGGAAUACACCACCUCAGUCAUCAGCUUCAUCAAUAAAUGCAUUGAUGACGUCGUCCCCACAGUGACUGUACGUACAUAUCCCAACCAGAAGCCAUGGAUUACAGGCAACAUCCGCAUCGAGCUAAAGGCUAGAGCUACCACUUUCACAGGAGUGGGAGACUAAUCCGGACGCUAAUAAGAAAUCCCGCUAUGCCCUCAGACGAACCAACAAACAAGCAAAGCGUCAAUACAGGAUUAAGAUUGAAUCCUACUACACCGGCUCUGAUGCCGGCUUGACAACUAUUACAGACUACAAAGGGAAACCCAGAUGUGAGCUGCCCAGUGACCCGAGCCUACCAGAUGAGCUAAAUGCCUUUUAUGCUCACUUUGAAGCAAGCAACACUGAAGCAUGCACGAGAGCACCAGCUGUUCUGGAUGACUGUGUGAUAACACUCUCAGUAGCCAAUAUGAACAAAACCUUUAAACAGGUCAACAUUCACAAAGCCGCUGGGCCACAAAGCCGCUGGAUUACCAGGACGUGUACUCAAAGCAGACCAACCGUCAAGUGUCUUCACUGACAUUUUCAACCUCUCGCUGAUCAAGUCUGUAAUACCUACAUGUUUCAAGUGGACCACCAUUGUCCCUGUGCCCAAGGAAGCGAAGGUAACCUGCUUAAAUUAUUACCACCCUGUGGCACUCACGUCGGUAGCCAUGAAGUGCUUUCAAAUGCUGGUCAUGGCCUACAUCAACAGCAUCCCCCGGACACCCUAGACCCACUCCAAUUCGCAUACCAUCCCAACAGGUCCACAGAUGACGCAAUCUCAAUCGCACGCCACACUUCCCUUUCUCACCUGGUCAAAAGGAACACCUACGUGAGAAUGCUGUUCAUUGACUACAGCUCAGCGUUCAACACAAUAGCACCCACGAAGCUCAUUACUAAGCUAAGGACUCUGGGACUAAAUGCCUACAUCUGCAACUGGAUCCUGGACUUCCUGACGGGCCGCCCCCAGGUGCUAAGAGAAGGCAACAACAUGUCUGCUACGCUGAUCCUUAACACUGGGGCCCCUCAGGGGUGCGUACUUAGUCCCCUCCUAUAUUCCCUGUUCACCCACGACUGCGUGGCCAAACACGACUCCAACACCAUCAUUAAGUUUGCUGACAGUAGUAGGCCUGAUCACCGACAAUGAUGAGACGGCCUAUAGGGAGAAGGUCAGAGAACUGGCAGUGUGGUGCCAGGACAACAACCUCUCAAUGUGAGGAAGACAAAAGAGCUGAUCGUGGACUACAUGAAAAGGCAGGGCGAAUAGGCCCCCAUUAACAUCGACAGGGCUGUAGUGGAGCGGGUCAAGAUUUUCAAGUUCCUUGGUGUCCACAUCACCAAUGAACUAUCAUGGUGCAAACAUACCAAGACAGUCGUGAAGAGGGCACGACAAAACCCUUUCCCCCUCAGGAGACUGAAAAGAUUUGGCAUGGGUCCCCAGAUCCUCAAAAGGUUCUUCAGCUGCACCAUCGAGAGCAUCACCUCCUGGUAUGGCAACUGCUCGGCAUCUGACCAUAAGACGCUACAGAGGGUUGUGUGAACGAGCGCCAAGUCUAGGACCAAAAGGCUCCUCAACAGCUUCUACCCCCAAGCCAUAAGACUGCUGAACAAUUAAUAAAAUCGCCACCGGACAAUUUACAUUGACCCACCCUCAUGUUUCAUUUCUAAAUGUCUGCGCAAGAGUGAAGGUUUCCCGCGAGAGAGUAACGGUUAAUGUGAUUGGAUGUUAAUUAUUUGACGAUGUUGUUAUUUCGCUGAACACUAGAUGGUUUCAUUUUAUUUUUAAAGGUGAAACGAGGCUACUCAGGUGAGAAAAAAACCUCACCCAAAUGUAUAGCCCUGUCAUAAAAUAUAAAUGUACUGUUUGAAAAUGUGAAGAAUUUUUUUUUUACAAUUUAUAAAAAAAAUGUGAAUCACAUUUUUAUUUGGCGUACCCCUCGGGAUACGCGUACCACAGUUUGGGAAUACCCGGUCUAGUUUGAAGACCAUUAACAGUCAGUUGAUUAGCUGAAUCAGUUGUGUUAUACAUUAUUUACCUAAGCAGCCCAUAUAUUUAUCCCAGACUGUGAAUACAAUACUUUAAAAAAUAUAUAUUUAACUAGGCAAGUCAGUUAAGAACAAAUUCUUAUUUACAAUGACAACCUAAACGGAGAGUUAACUGCCUUGUUCAGGGGCAGAAGACAUAUUUUCACCUUGUCAGCUCAGGGAAUCGAUCCAGCAACCUUUUGGUUAUUGGCCCAACGCUCUAACCACUAGACUGCCUGCCUCCCCAUAAGGUAUCAUGUCAUACUGGAGUUUGGGAGGAAAACAGGAAAAUACUUUUCCAUGACCACUUGAAACAAAUAGACAUUUUUGUAACUAGGUUUGGUUGUGUAAUUGACCUGAUAUGUACAUUCCUGUGUACAACUGCUCUGUGUUUGACUGAGAGAGCACUAUGGGAACAACCCUGAAACAGAAUACCGGAUAAAAAGUUGAAACACUUUUAAUCAGUUUGUAUCCAGAUUAUGGAUUUUGGUCAAUAGGAGUGGAACUCUAAACCUGUUCCCUCUCCUGUCCCUUUCCUCUUUGUAGGGCAGGGUAUGACCUCACCAGUUUUAUAAACAGAUGUAAUUGUACUGCUAUUCUCUUGCGAUGUGCUGUGUAAAUAAACACAUGCUCGGACAGCGAUCCCAGUUCUUUGCUGUUUAUUCUGACCAUAGACAAGGAAAGAGUACAUAAGAUGAGCAUCACUUGCACCAGGAUAUUGACGGCUGUAGAAUCCUUUGCAUGUAAAUAGUAGACUGGGCUUUUUAUAAUUAAAUAUGUCAAACAUAGGAAGGAAUACAGAUCAUGCAUGAACUACAAAUAUAAAAGGAAAAACUUGAAUUCAUCUUGACAUUAUGACAAUCUUUGAUGGUUUAUAGUUUGCUAAGUAAACACGCUUGGUGACUCCAGAUGGCUGUCUGAGCAGAAUUUAUAAACUCAAACACGUGGUCCCCGUAUACAGUAUUUUAUUCUGGAGGCCUCUUCCUGGUCCAGCUCUGCGGAACACUAACAUCAAUUAACCUCACCAGACAUGCAAUUACACUACAAUGCAAAUAUUAUCAAUGGUAAAAACAUAACUUCAUAUUUAACUUAAUAUGUUCAAAAAAAUCAUAUCCAGCCCUCCUCACAGGGAAACCACCUACAGAGAGAACGUGUUAGAGAGAGAGAGAAAGAGGGGUGCAAUGGAACAUUUCCCAGUUAUGCUCAUAGAUUGUGGUAAGGAUUUGGCGAGGGACACACAACAUUUCCUCCCCUUUUCAUUUUUAAUGUACUUUACAAAUGGAAGCAGAGAAUGUGUGGUAAUUCUACUCUGUAAGUAUGUGACAAUUGUCUGUGGUCGUGUCUAUUGUUAUCACCCCAACCCAGAAAAUAUACAGCUAAUUUUGCUAUGUGACAAACAUUUGC
Oncorhynchus tshawytscha (Chinook salmon) is the source of this 5008-nucleotide long non-coding RNA. The record is from Ensembl. NCBI's taxonomy places the organism in Eukaryota, Metazoa, Chordata, Actinopteri, Salmoniformes, Salmonidae.